Molecule: RNase P RNA, 383 nt
Filed under: Pararcticibacter amylolyticus
Lineage: Bacteria; Pseudomonadati; Bacteroidota; Sphingobacteriia; Sphingobacteriales; Sphingobacteriaceae
Description: Bacterial RNase P class A
Rfam family: Bacterial RNase P class A
About the family: Ribonuclease P (RNase P) is a ubiquitous endoribonuclease, found in archaea, bacteria and eukarya as well as chloroplasts and mitochondria. Its best characterised activity is the generation of mature 5'-ends of tRNAs by cleaving the 5'-leader elements of precursor-tRNAs. Cellular RNase Ps are ribonucleoproteins.
Source: Rfam by way of RNAcentral
CUUUGUAUGCUGUUCUAUCGCUGUCCGCUUUGCGGAGAGAGGAAAGUCCGGGCAACACAGAGCAUCCUGCUUCCUAACGGGAAGGGCGUAUAAAAGCGUACGGAAAGUGCCACAGAAAACAAACUACCCUGCCGUUUGACGGUGUGGGAAAAGGUGAAAACGUGAGGUAAGAGCUCACGGCUUUGUAUGGCGACAUGCAUCGCGGUAAACCCCGGGAGUUGAAAGACCAAAUAAGCUGGCAUUUAAGGGCUGCUCGUUCUUAUCAUGUUUUUCAUGGUGUGUCAGCGGGUAGGUCGUUUGAGCCUGGCAGCAAUGUCAGGACUAGAUAAAUGAUAGAAAUCCGUUUACGGAGACAGAACCCGGCUUACAGGCAAUAAGGAGGA